GCCCCUAUAGCUCAGCUGGUAGAGCGUCUGAUUUGUAAUCAGAGGGUCGGGAGUUCGAGUCUCUCUGGGGGCACCA
Molecule: transfer RNA, 76 nt
Filed under: Ketogulonicigenium vulgare
Lineage: Bacteria; Pseudomonadati; Pseudomonadota; Alphaproteobacteria; Rhodobacterales; Roseobacteraceae
Also listed under: 10 other names
Description: tRNA-Thr
Rfam family: tRNA
About the family: Transfer RNA (tRNA) molecules are approximately 80 nucleotides in length.
Source: RNAcentral